CUACGGGUGGCUCCAGUGAGGAAUAUUGCACAAUGGGGGGAACCCUGAUGCAGCAAUGCCGCGUGGAGGAUGACGCAUUUCGGUGUGUAAACUCCUUUUAUAUGUCAAGAAAAUGACGGUAGCAUAUGAAUAAGCACCGGCUAACUCCGUGCCAGCAGCCGCGGUAAUACGGAGGGUGCAAGCGUUACUCGGAAUCACUGGGCGUAAAGGACGCGUAGGCGGGAUAUCAAGUCCGGUGUGAAAUCCUACAGCUUAACUGUAGAACUGCACUUGAAACUGGUAACCUAGAGUAUGGGAGGGGGAGAUGGAAUUAGUGGUGUAGGGGUAAAAUCCGUAGAUAUCACUAGGAAUACCUAAAGCGAAGGCGAUCUCCUGGAACAUUACUGACGCUAAGGCGUGAAAGCGUGGGGAGCAAACAGGAUUAGAUACCCCUGUAGUC
Molecule: ribosomal RNA, 439 nt
Filed under: uncultured bacterium
Lineage: Bacteria
Description: partial 16S ribosomal RNA
Rfam family: Bacterial small subunit ribosomal RNA
Source: RNAcentral